CCUGCCCAGAAGCGGGGGAUAACAGCUGGAAACAGAUGCUAAUACCGCAUAACAACUUGGACCGCAUGGUCCGAGUUUGAAAGAUGGCUUCGGCUAUCACUUUUGGAUGGUCCCGCGGCGUAUUAGCUAGAUGGUGGGGUAACGGCUCACCAUGGCAAUGAUACGUAGCCGACCUGAGAGGGUAAUCGGCCACAUUGGGACUGAGACACGGCCCAAACUCCUACGGGAGGCAGCAGUAGGGAAUCUUCCACAAUGGACGAAAGUCUGAUGGAGCAACGCCGCGUGAGUGAAGAAGGGUUUCGGCUCGUAAAACUCUGUUGUUAAAGAAGAACAUAUCUGAGAGUAACUGUUCAGGUAUUGACGGUAUUUAACCAGAAAGCCACGGCUAACUACGUGCCAGCAGCCGCGGUAAUACGUAGGUGGCAAGCGUUGUCCGGAUUUAUUGGGCGUAAAGCGAGCGCAGGCGGUUUUUUAAGUCUGAUGUGAAAGCCUUCGGCUCAACCGAAGAAGUGCAUCGGAAACUGGGAAACUUGAGUGCAGAAGAGGACAGUGGAACUCCAUGUGUAGCGGUGAAAUGCGUAGAUAUAUGGAAGAACACCAGUGGCGAAGGCGGCUGUCUGGUCUGUAACUGACGCUGAGGCUCGAAAGUAUGGGUAGCAAACAGGAUUAGAUACCCUGGUAGUCCAUACCGUAAACGAUGAAUGCUAAGUGUUGGAGGGUUUCCGCCCUUCAGUGCUGCAGCUAACGCAUUAAGCAUUCCGCCUGGGGAGUACGGCCGCAAGGCUGAAACUCAAAGGAAUUGACGGGGGCCCGCACAAGCGGUGGAGCAUGUGGUUUAAUUCGAAGCUACGCGAAGAACCUUACCAGGUCUUGACAUACUAUGCAAAUCUAAGAGAUUAGACGUUCCCUUCGGGGACAUGGAUACAGGUGGUGCAUGGUUGUCGUCAGCUCGUGUCGUGAGAUGUUGGGUUAAGUCCCGCAACGAGCGCAACCCUUAUUAUCAGUUGCCAGCAUUAAGUUGGGCACUCUGGUGAGACUGCCGGUGACAAACCGGAGGAAGGUGGGGAUGACGUCAAAUCAUCAUGCCCCUUAUGACCUGGGCUACACACGUGCUACAAUGGAUGGUACAACGAGUUGCGAACUCGCGAGAGUAAGCUAAUCUCUUAAAGCCAUUCUCAGUUCGGAUUGUAGGCUGCAACUCGCCUACAUGAAGUCGGAAUCGCUAGUAAUCGCGGAUCAGCAUGCCGCGGUG
This 1252-nucleotide ribosomal RNA is filed under the name Lactiplantibacillus plantarum. RNAcentral's name for it is "bacterial SSU rRNA". It matches the Rfam family "Bacterial small subunit ribosomal RNA", at positions 125 to 1364 of the family's 1533-position model. The record is from RNAcentral. Lineage: Bacteria; Bacillati; Bacillota; Bacilli; Lactobacillales; Lactobacillaceae.